RNAcentral lists this ribosomal RNA (369 nucleotides) under uncultured bacterium. RNAcentral describes it as "bacterial SSU rRNA". It matches the Rfam family "Bacterial small subunit ribosomal RNA", at positions 525 to 896 of the family's 1533-position model. The record is from RNAcentral.
ACGGAGGGUGCAAGCGUUAUCCGGAAUCAUUGGGUUUAAAGGGUCCGCAGGCGGGUCUAUAAGUCAGUGGUGAAAUCUCUCGGCUUAACCGAGAAACUGCCAUUGAUACUGUAGGUCUUGAAUUCGGUCGAAGUGGGCGGAAUAUGACAUGUAGCGGUGAAAUGCUUAGAUAUGUCAUAGAACACCGAUAGCGAAGGCAGCUCACUAGGCCUGGAUUGACGCUCAGGGACGAAAGCGUGGGGAGCAAACAGGAUUAGAUACCCUGGUAGUCCACGCCGUAAACGAUGAUUACUCGAUAUUGGCGAUAUACAGUCAGUGUCUAAGCGAAAGUGAUAAGUAAUCCACCUGGGGAGUACGAUCGCAAGGUUG